Molecule: non-coding RNA, 641 nt
Organism: Triticum urartu
Lineage: Eukaryota; Viridiplantae; Streptophyta; Magnoliopsida; Poales; Poaceae
Source: RefSeq, a predicted model, not a curated record
GUACAAUCAAUCAGGGCCAGCUUCCAAGAAGGAACAGCAUCCUGCAACCCAGCUUCGUGCCGAAUGUGGUACAUCCCGACGAUACUGCCUGAUGGUUGGACUGUCUAUGCUUUUGAUAUGUUGCGCAAAAGAAUAAUUGUAUUAGACCCAGCAGUUGGCCCGUUUGGCUAUAGCAACCGCCGAGUCAGCAUGCAUGAAUUUGUUAGCAACAAACUCCAUGCCGCAUUGUUCACAUGCCUCCAGAAUUUCUUCAGCUCUUGGCAUUGUGAAUCAAGCCACUGGGGGCGCACUUUUCCGAUCAUAAUGAGGGAAAAUAUUGAGAAGUAUGCUUUUGGCCCAUCGACCACUCGCCCUUUGUAAUUAGUUCACAUAUUACUCGCAUUGUUUUAACUUGUCCCUUUGGCUUUUUUGAAUCCACCCAAAUGCAGAGAUCAGACUGGGUUGUGUGCCACCUUCUUUGCAUGGAAUUACGAUGGCGACAAGCUACAGAUACCACUAAACGAAGACACACUUGCAUCACACAGCAGCCUAAUGAUCUACGAACUAAUGAGGAUGCAAGGCAACCAAACUCCAGUAGCAAACGACACCCUUGAAGCAGUCAAAGUAUUAUUCACUGCUCUUUAGAAUACCGUUCUAACUAC